GUGCUUGCUUCAGCAGUACAUAUACUAACAUUGGAACGAUAUGGAGAUUAGCAUGGUCCCUGUGCAAAGAUGACAUGGAAAUUCGUACAAUGUUCCAUAUUUUU
Small nuclear RNA from Saimiri boliviensis boliviensis (Bolivian squirrel monkey), 104 nucleotides. Lineage: Eukaryota; Metazoa; Chordata; Mammalia; Primates; Cebidae. The record is from Ensembl.